This 716-nucleotide ribosomal RNA is filed under the name Massilia sp. RNAcentral describes it as "bacterial SSU rRNA". It matches the Rfam family "Bacterial small subunit ribosomal RNA", at positions 75 to 788 of the family's 1533-position model. The record is from RNAcentral. Lineage: Bacteria; Pseudomonadati; Pseudomonadota; Betaproteobacteria; Burkholderiales; Oxalobacteraceae.
CGGGGCAACCUGGCGGCGAGUGGCGAACGGGUGAGUAAUAUAUCGGAACGUACCCAGAAGUGGGGGAUAACGUAGCGAAAGUUACGCUAAUACCGCAUACGAUCUACGGAUGAAAGUGGGGGACCUUCGGGCCUCAUGCUUUUGGAGCGGCCGAUAUCUGAUUAGCUAGUUGGUAGGGUAAAGGCCUACCAAGGCGACGAUCAGUAGCUGGUCUGAGAGGACGACCAGCCACACUGGGACUGAGACACGGCCCAGACUCCUACGGGAGGCAGCAGUGGGGAAUUUUGGACAAUGGGCGCAAGCCUGAUCCAGCAAUGCCGCGUGAGUGAAGAAGGCCUUCGGGUUGUAAAGCUCUUUUGUCAGGGAAGAAACGGCUGGGGCUAAUAUCCCCGGCUAAUGACGGUACCUGAAGAAUAAGCACCGGCUAACUACGUGCCAGCAGCCGCGGUAAUACGUAGGGUGCAAGCGUUAAUCGGAAUUACUGGGCGUAAAGCGUGCGCAGGCGGUUUUGUAAGUCUGACGUGAAAUCCCCGGGCUCAACCUGGGAAUUGCGUUGGAGACUGCAAGGCUGGAGUCUGGCAGAGGGGGGUAGAAUUCCACGUGUAGCAGUGAAAUGCGUAGAGAUGUGGAGGAACACCGAUGGCGAAGGCAGCCCCCUGGGUCAAGACUGACGCUCAUGCACGAAAGCGUGGGGAGCAAACAGGAUUAGAUACCCU